AUUGGUAGCAAUACCAUGAGAGCGGCGGACGGGUGAGUAACGCGUACACGACCUACCUUUGACUGGGGGAUAGCCCUGGGAAACUGGGAUUAAUACCGCAUAUAAUUCUGAAUAAUAAAGGUUUGGAAUGAAAGUUCAGGCGGUCAGAGAUGGGUGUGCGUCUGAUUAGCUAGUUGGUAAGGUAACGGCUUACCAAGGCGAUGAUCAGUAGGGGGCGUGAGAGCGUGAUCCCCCACACGGGUACUGAGACGCGGACCCGACUCCUACGGGAGGCAGCAGUAAGGAAUAUUGGACAAUGGCCGCAAGGCUGAUCCAGCCAUCCAGCGUGCAGGAAGAAGGCCCUACGGGUUGUAAACUGCUUUUGUCAGGGAAUAAACCUGUGGAUUUACUCCGCAGCUGAAGGUACCUGAAGAAUAAGCACCGGCUAACUCCGUGCCAGCAGCCGCGGUAAUACGGAGGGUGCGAGCGUUAUCCGGAAUUACUGGGUUUAAAGGGUGCGUAGGCGGCCAUGUAAGUCAGGAGUGAAAGUUUGCGGCUCAACCGUAAAAUUGCUUUUGAUACUGCAUGGCUGGAAUCAGGAUGAGGUCAGCGGAAUGUGGCAUGUAGCGGUGAAAUGCAUAGAUAUGCCAUAGAACACCAAUUGCGAAGGCAGCUGGCUAGACCUGUAUUGACGCUGAGGCACGAAAGCGUGGGGAGCGAACAGGAUUAGAUACCCUGGUAGUCCACGCCCUAAACGAUGCUUACUCGACGUAUGGCACUAGUUGUUGUGCGUCCAAGGGAAACCGUUAAGUAAGCCACCU
Molecule: ribosomal RNA, 800 nt
Filed under: uncultured Bacteroidota bacterium
Lineage: Bacteria; Pseudomonadati; Bacteroidota
Description: bacterial SSU rRNA
Rfam family: Bacterial small subunit ribosomal RNA
Source: RNAcentral